UAGGGAAUCUUCGGCAAUGGACGAAAGUCUGACCGAGCAACGCCGCGUGAGUGAAGAAGGUUUUCGGAUCGUAAAACUCUGUUGUUAGAGAAGAACAAGGACGUUAGUAACUGAACGUCCCCUGACGGUAUCUAACCAGAAAGCCACGGCUAACUACGUGCCAGCAGCCGCGGUAAUACGUAGGUGGCAAGCGUUGUCCGGAUUUAUUGGGCGUAAAGCGAGCGCAGGCGGUUUCUUAAGUCUGAUGUGAAAGCCCCCGGCUCAACCGGGGAGGGUCAUUGGAAACUGGGAGACUUGAGUGCAGAAGAGGAGAGUGGAAUUCCAUGUGUAGCGGUGAAAUGCGUAGUUAUAUGGAGGAACACCAGUGGCGAAGGCGGCUAUCUGGUCUGUAACUGACGCUGAGGCUCGAAAGCGUGGGGAGCAAACAGG
This 429-nucleotide ribosomal RNA is filed under the name Gemmatimonadota bacterium. Its description in RNAcentral is "Gemmatimonadetes bacterium partial 16S ribosomal RNA". It matches the Rfam family "Bacterial small subunit ribosomal RNA", at positions 355 to 776 of the family's 1533-position model. Lineage: Bacteria; Pseudomonadati; Gemmatimonadota. The record is from RNAcentral.